AUUGAACGCUGGCGGCAUGCUUUACACAUGCAAGUCGAACGGUAACAGGCCUUCGGGUGCUGACGAGUGGCGAACGGGUGAGUAAUGCAUCGGAACGUACCCAGAGGUGGGGGAUAACGCAGCGCAAGCUGUGCUAAUACCGCAUGUGAUCUGAGGAUGAAAGCGGGGGACCGAGCAGCAAUGUUUUUCCUCGCGCCUUUGGAGCGGCCGAUGUCGGAUUAGCUAGUUGGUGGGGUAAAGGCCUACCAAGGCGACGAUCCGUAGCUGGUCUGAGAGGACGACCAGACACACUGGGACUGAGACACGGCCCAGACUCCUACGGGAGGCAGCAGUGGGGAAUUUUGGACAAUGGGCGCAAGCCUGAUCCAGCAAUGCCGCGUGCGGGAAGAAGGCAUUCGGGUUGUAAACCGCUUUUGGCAGGAACGAAACGGUGUCCGCUAAUACCGGGCGCUAAUGACGGUACCUGCAGAAUAAGCACCGGCUAACUACGUG
Molecule: ribosomal RNA, 492 nt
Filed under: uncultured bacterium
Lineage: Bacteria
Description: partial 16S ribosomal RNA
Rfam family: Bacterial small subunit ribosomal RNA
Source: RNAcentral